Molecule: unclassified non-coding RNA, 645 nt
Filed under: Hevea brasiliensis (rubber tree)
Lineage: Eukaryota; Viridiplantae; Streptophyta; Magnoliopsida; Malpighiales; Euphorbiaceae
Source: RNAcentral
GAAAGGUAAGAUUAGAAUAAAUAGAUACAAAAUCGCUGCAAUUUCUCCAAAUAAAUGUGAGGAGAAAAAUACAAGAAGAAUUUAUAAAGGAAAAAUAAUAAAUAAAUUAAAGGAAGAAAGAAAGGAAUCAAUGGAAGAGGUAGGUAAUUGCAAGAGCCACUAGUAGAAGGAUGUAAGCAAUUCCUUGAUCAAUAGUAUAGCCUGCAACAAAAACAAGAUCAACCCAGAAAUCUAAAUUAGGAAAAAGAUCAAAUUCACGCUAAACAAAUAGUUUUCACAUAAUUAAAUCUGAGUUUGAAUCUCAAUUGAUUCAAAUGGAAUUGAAAUUAUGAGAGAGAAACGUACCAUCGCUGGAUGGGCCUUGUGGUGCAGGAGAAGGAGCCAUGCCUUGUCCAUAGCCAAGAUGCAUCAGUGCCAAGAACAUAAACCCAAUGAUCGGGAGAGCAUACAAAUUCAUGGGACUCAUCUUCAAAAGCCAACAGAUAUCUAUUCCAGGAAGAUCUAAUAGCGAAAUCAAGACUCAGAGAGAGAGAGAGAAAUACUCUGUGAGCGAAUCAAGAAGAUGGCUAUGAACGGGAGACUAGAGGGUAUUUAUAUGGAUUUUUUAGGAGCAAGUUUGAAGUGCCAAUGAAUUUUCUAGGAAAG